Molecule: ribosomal RNA, 1193 nt
Filed under: uncultured fungus
Lineage: Eukaryota; Fungi
Description: eukaryotic LSU rRNA
Rfam family: Eukaryotic large subunit ribosomal RNA (bases 620-1193)
Source: RNAcentral
AUUAUUGAAUAAACUUGGUUAGGUUGCUGCUGGCCUUCAGGAGCAUGUGCACGCCUAUUCCAUUUUUAAACCCCUGUGCACUUUGUAUAGACCUGGAAUAUCUCUCGAGUCCCAAAUGUUUGGAGCUCGGUCUUGAGAACUGCCGAGUUGAAAAACCGGCUUUUCUUGUCUUUCAGGUCUGUAUCUCUUCUAUACACCCGACAAAAAUGUAUCAGAAUGCUGCUUUUGGGGCCUUUUGUGCCUUUAAAAAAUACAUACAACUUUCAACAACGGAUCUCUUGGCUCUCGCAUCGAUGAAGAACGCAGCGAAAUGCGAUAAGUAAUGUGAAUUGCAGAAUUCAGUGAAUCAUCGAAUCUUUGAACGCACCUUGCGCUCCUUGGUAUUCCGAGGAGCAUGCCUGUUUGAGUGUCAUGAAAUUCUCAACCUUUCUGUCUUUUACAAGACCAGUCUGGCUUGGAUCGUGGGGGUUGCAGGCUCAUCCGAGCCAGCUCUCCUUAAAUGUAUCAGCAAAGUCAUUGCUUGAUCAUCUUUUGAUAUGAUAAUUAUCUAUAUCAUUGGAGAUCAGCCUAAGACUGGCUUCUAACUGUUUCUCUUUAUAAGAGACUUCUUUGACAAAUUUGACCUCAAAUCAGGUAGGACUACCCGCUGAACUUAAGCAUAUCAAUAAGCGGAGGAAAAGAAACUAACAAGGAUUCCCCUAGUAACUGCGAGUGAAGCGGGAAAAGCUCAAAUUUAAAAUCUGGUGGUCUUUGACUAUCCGAGUUGUAAUCUAGAGAAGCGUCAUCCGUGCUGGACCGUGUACAAGUCUCCUGGAAUGGAGCGUCACAGAGGGUGAGAAUCCCGUCUUUGACACGGACUCCCAGGACAUUGUGAUGCGCUCUCAAAGAGUCGAGUUGUUUGGGAAUGCAGCUCUAAAUGGGUGGUAAAUUCCAUCUAAAGCUAAAUAUUGGCGAGAGACCGAUAGCGAACAAGUACCGUGAGGGAAAGAUGAAAAGAACUUUGGAAAGAGAGUUAAACAGUACGUGAAAUUGUUGAAAGGGAAACGCUUGAAGUCAGUCACAUUGGCCAGGGAUCAGCCUUGCUCUUGCUUGGUGUACUUCUUGGUUGAUGGGUCAGCAUCAAUUUUGACCAGUGGAAAAAGGUCAAGGGAAUGUGGCAUCUUCGGAUGUGUUAUAGCAUUUGGUCACAUACA